This 791-nucleotide ribosomal RNA is filed under the name uncultured archaeon. RNAcentral describes it as "bacterial SSU rRNA". It matches the Rfam family "Archaeal small subunit ribosomal RNA", at positions 85 to 876 of the family's 1478-position model. The record is from RNAcentral.
ACGGCUCAGUAACACGUGGAUAACCUACCCUUAGGACUGGGAUAACCCUGGGAAACUGGGGAUAAUACCGGAUAGGCAAUUUUUCCUGUAAUGGUUUUUUGUUUAAAUGUUUUUUCGCCUAAGGAUGGGUCUGCGGCCGAUUAGGUAGUUGGUUAGGUAAUGGCUUACCAAGCCGUUGAUCGGUACGGGUUGUGAGAGCAAGAGCCCGGAGAUGGAACCUGAGACAAGGUUCCAGGCCCUAUGGGGUGCAGCAGGCGCGAAACCUCCGCAAUGUGAGAAAUCGCGACGGGGGGAUCCCAAGUGCCAUUCUUAACGGGAUGGCUUUUCAUUAGUGUAAAGAGCUUUUGGAAUAAGAGCUGGGCAAGACCGGUGCCAGCCGCCGCGGUAACACCGGCAGCUCUAGUGGUAACAAUUUUUAUUGGGCCUAAAGCGUCCGUAGCCGGUUUAAUAAGUCUCUGGUGAAAUCCUGUAGCUUAACUGUGGGAAUUGCUGGAGAUACUAUUAGACUUGAGACCGGGAGAGGUUAGAGGUACUCCCAGGGUAGAGGUGAAAUUCUGUAAUCCUGGGAGGACCGCCUGUUGCGAAGGCGUCUAACUGGAACGGUUCUGACGGUGAGGGACGAAAGUUAGGGGCGCGAACCGGAUUAGAUACCCGGGUAGUCCUAACUGUAAACGAUGCGGACUUGGUGUUGGGGUGGCUUUGAGCUGCUCCAGUGCCGAAGGGAAGCUGUUAAGGCCGCCGCCUGGGAAGUACGGUCGCAAGACUGAAACUUAAAGGAAUUGGCGGGGGAG